UUGGAUGAUGAGAAACAAAA
Molecule: small nuclear RNA, 20 nt
Filed under: Arabidopsis thaliana (thale cress)
Lineage: Eukaryota; Viridiplantae; Streptophyta; Magnoliopsida; Brassicales; Brassicaceae
Description: snRNA_07230
Source: RNAcentral